This 2049-nucleotide unclassified non-coding RNA is filed under the name Monomorium pharaonis (pharaoh ant). RNAcentral describes it as "actin-related protein 3, transcript variant X1". The record is from RNAcentral. Lineage: Eukaryota; Metazoa; Arthropoda; Insecta; Hymenoptera; Formicidae.
AGCCAGAAGUAAAGAGGCCGAGACAGAGGCGUGGUAUCGUUUUGCGGCGGUUUGGUGUGUGACAGUGUGUGCCUGUGUGUGGUUAGCCGCGACCGUCAUCGGCGCGGGUGUGUUUUGCCGGAAUAAGAGCGAUCGGUGGUGCCGGAAUCAUGCUUGGACGUCUCCCCGCGUGUGUCAUCGACGUGGGCACAGGGUACACGAAAUUGGGAUUCGCUGGCAAUAAGGAGCCCCAACUAACUAUACCGUCAGCGAUCGCCAUCAAAGAGACGACCAAAGUCGGCGAUAAUAAUGCGAGGAGAAUUACGAAGGGCGUGGAGGACCUGGACGCCUACAUUGGGGACGAGGCUUUCGAAGCCACCGGAUAUUCGGUUAAAUAUCCAGUGAGGCAUGGACUAGUGGAGGAUUGGGACUUGAUGGAGAAAUUUUUACAACAAUGCAUCUUCAAGUACCUCAGAUCAGAGCCCGAGGAUCAUUACUUCCUCUUAACCGAACCACCUUUGAAUACGCCAGAGAAUCGGGAAUACACUGCGGAAAUUAUGUUCGAGUCAUUUAACGUGCCGGGACUUUACAUAGCUGUGCAAGCCGUUCUCGCCUUAGCAGCCUCGUGGACAGCUAAGAAUGUGGAGGACCGCACUUUGACUGGCGUUGUCGUCGAUAGUGGAGACGGUGUAACCCACGUGAUUCCAGUAGCGGAAGGUUUCGUCAUAGGAAGUUGUAUAAAGCACAUUCCUAUCGCUGGUCGCGAUAUCACCUACUUCAUACAGAGUCUGCUGAGGGAACGAGAGAUUGGGAUACCUCCUGAGCAAUCGUUAGAAACAGCCAAAUCGAUCAAAGAGAAAUACUGUUACAUAUGUCCAGAUAUAUCGAAAGAAUUCGCCAAAUAUGAUAGCGAUCCCACAAAGAUAAAAAAAUACGACGGUAUCAACAAUAUCACAAAGCAACCUUUUGUGGUGGAUGUCGGAUACGAAAGGUUCCUUGGACCGGAAAUAUUUUUCCAUCCCGAAUUUUCCAAUCCGGACUUUACAACGCCGCUCAAUGAAAUUGUUGACGAUGUGAUACAAAACUGCCCAAUCGACGUCCGAAGACCACUGUACAGUAAUAUCGUGUUAUCGGGUGGCUCCACCAUGUUCAAAGACUUUGGUAGACGAUUACAACGAGAUAUCAAAAAGAUCGUCGACUCGCGCCUCAAGCUUAGUGAAACGUUAAGUGGCAGCCAUAUUACGCCAAAACCAAUAGACGUUCGUGUAAUAUCGCAUCACAAGCAACGUUGCGCGGUAUGGUAUGGCGGCGCUUUAUUAGCCAGCGAUCCAGAAUUUUACACAGUUUGUCACACGAAGAAAGCGUACCAGGAGUAUGGUCCUGGAAUUUGUCGUUAUAAUCCCGUAUUUCACAGUAUGGUUUAAGAAAUAAAUGGGACGAGCACGACGAUCGAAAUCAUUUUUAAGAGUAUUGUCACUUAUGAAUAAUUAUGUCAGAUAUUUGAGUCAGCAUGACUUGAAUUUACGAUUAGAUUAUGAAAAUUAAUGUACGUUUAUUUCUGUUUUUGGAAUUUAAUCAUCAUUCAGGAUAUAUAGUAUAUGACUGUAUACACUUGAUACGCAUUUCCAUAGAAUUUACUAUGUAUUUUUAUUUUUGCGAUAUAGUAUAUUUAUUAUAUUUACAAGUCUUUAAAAAAUGCAUAUAUAACAGAUUUAUGAUGUUAUAAUAAUUAUUUUGUCGUUUAAUAUAUAGUGGUGCAUAUAAUAAUGCAACACUACUUACUAUAUUCAGAAACAAUUUUACACUGAACAAAAACUCUAACAAAAUUUUAUACAUACAAUUUCUUUAUACAUGAAAUCAAAUGAAUGCUGGAAUAAUCUUCUUAGACUAUAGUAUGUACCAACUAAUUUUUUGCAUUUUUACAUGACUAUUUAAAAGGACAUAUGUGUAUUACUUAAAAUUGUUAGAUUGGAUAGGUUUCUUUUGGCGUUGAGUUCCACACAAUUAAAGAAGGUUGUUGUUACGCGUGGUCAUCAUUCUCCUCGCUAAAUAAACAAAAAGUAUAAUCAA